ACUCAAAUGAAUUGACGGGGGCCCGCACAAGCAGCGGAGCGUGUGGUUUAAUUCGAUGCAACGCGAAGAACCUCACCUAGGCUUGACAUGCUGGAAGUAGAACCCCGAAAGGGGAACGACUCGUAAAGUCGAGAACCAGCACAGAUGCUGCAUGGCUGUCGUCAGCUCGUGCCGUGAGGUGUUGGGUUAAGUCCCGCAACGAGCGCAACCCUCGCCGUUAGUUACCAUGUCUAGCGGGACCGCCGGUUUCAAACCGGAGGAAGGUGGGGAUGACGUCAAGUCAGCACGGCUCUUACGCCUAGGGCUACACACACGCUACAAUGGCCGGUACAACGGGAUGCCAAGGGGCGACCCGGAGCCAAUCCUAUCAAAGCCGGUCUCAGUUGGGAUUGCAGGCUGCAACUCGCCUGCAUGAACGCGGAGUUGCUAGUAACCGCAGGUCAGCACACUGCGGUGAAUACGUUCCCGGGCCUUGUACACACCGCCCGU
RNAcentral lists this ribosomal RNA (489 nucleotides) under uncultured bacterium. Its description in RNAcentral is "partial 16S ribosomal RNA". It matches the Rfam family "Bacterial small subunit ribosomal RNA", at positions 899 to 1397 of the family's 1533-position model. The record is from RNAcentral.